AAACAGUCUGCCUGAAACUCCGACGAUUUCCAACAAAUCCUACAUCGCCUUGGCCACCAACCGCUGGGACAGUAGGCGGGUUAAUAUUAGCACUUGAAGCAGCUGCUGCAGUGUGAUCGAAAGAUUGUAUUACUGGAACUGAUGCAGUUGGGUGUGUUGGCCCAGUGUCUAAGCCACCUUCAAAAUCAAAAUUCAAACCCCCUUCUCCUUCGUCCAUUACUACGAAACUGUCAAAUGGGUCGGUGUUUGACAACAGAUUUUGCUUGAAAUUGGUGGCUAUGGCACUUUCCGCACUAUGACGUUUUCAAUUUUACAGCCUUUCUUCUUCUGGCUGCAGGAUUAGGAGAAGAGAGAGGAAGAGGAG
RNAcentral lists this unclassified non-coding RNA (364 nucleotides) under Hevea brasiliensis (rubber tree). Lineage: Eukaryota; Viridiplantae; Streptophyta; Magnoliopsida; Malpighiales; Euphorbiaceae. The record is from RNAcentral.